UACGUAGGGCGCAAGCGUUGUCCGGAAUCAUUGGGCGUAAAGAGCUCGUAGGCGGCCUGUUGCGUCCGCUGUGAAAUCCCGGGGCUUAACCCCGGGCGUGCAGUGGAUACGGGCUGGCUGGAGGCAGGCAGGGGAGAACGGAAUUCCCGGUGUAGCGGUGAAAUGCGCAGAUAUCAGGAGGAACACCGAUGGCGAAGGCAGGUCUCUGGGCCGAUACUGACGCUGAGGAGCGAAAGCGUGGGGAGCGAACAGG
Molecule: ribosomal RNA, 253 nt
Filed under: uncultured bacterium
Lineage: Bacteria
Description: partial 16S ribosomal RNA
Rfam family: Bacterial small subunit ribosomal RNA
Source: RNAcentral